This 552-nucleotide ribosomal RNA is filed under the name Hanseniaspora uvarum. RNAcentral's name for it is "eukaryotic LSU rRNA". It matches the Rfam family "Eukaryotic large subunit ribosomal RNA", at positions 51 to 605 of the family's 3401-position model. Lineage: Eukaryota; Fungi; Ascomycota; Saccharomycetes; Saccharomycodales; Saccharomycodaceae. The record is from RNAcentral.
GGGAGGAAAAGAAACCAACUGGGAUUACCUUAGUAACGGCGAGUGAAGCGGUAAAAGCUCAAAUUUGAAAUCUGGUACUUUCAGUGCCCGAGUUGUAAUUUGUAGAAUUUGUCUUUGAUUAGGUCCUUGUCUAUGUUCCUUGGAACAGGACGUCAUAGAGGGUGAGAAUCCCGUUUGGCGAGGAUACCUUUUCUCUGUAAGACUUUUUCGAAGAGUCGAGUUGUUUGGGAAUGCAGCUCAAAGUGGGUGGUAAAUUCCAUCUAAAGCUAAAUAUUGGCGAGAGACCGAUAGCGAACAAGUACAGUGAUGGAAAGAUGAAAAGAACUUUGAAAAGAGAGUGAAAAAGUACGUGAAAUUGUUGAAAGGGAAGGGCAUUUGAUCAGACAUGGUGUUUUUUGCAUGCACUCGCCUCUCGUGGGCUUGGGCCUCUCAAAAAUUUCACUGGGCCAACAUCAAUUCUGGCAGCAGGAUAAAUCAUUAAGAAUGUAGCUACUUCGGUAGUGUUAUAGCUUUUUGGAAUACUGUUAGCCGGGAUUGAGGACUGCGCUCGGC